RNAcentral lists this unclassified non-coding RNA (772 nucleotides) under Hevea brasiliensis (rubber tree). The record is from RNAcentral. Lineage: Eukaryota; Viridiplantae; Streptophyta; Magnoliopsida; Malpighiales; Euphorbiaceae.
CAACAUCCAUCAUGUCUUCAUUUUUAGGAGGAUCAAUAACCUCUGGCUUACUUCUCAUGUCAUCAAAAAAAGGAUUUCCAGAUGCCAUGCUAGUAUGACCACUCACCGAAUUUUGUUCUCUACUCAACCUUCUUGCUUGAUUUGUAGAAGCUGUUGACAAGCUGUGGUUCCUCACCCUAGCAGCAAUGUACAUGAUAAAAUCACAUAAACUUCAUGAUUUGACUCAAACUUCAAAACACAGUUCCUGUAGGACAUCUACUGAAACAACUGAAUAACACCUCACAGGCUGCCUCACAGCAGUCGGAGCACCUAAUUGCCCAGAUAACGAGCAAUCGGUCAACCACUGAAUACGACAAUAAAAUACUCCAAUUCACACACACAAACAAAACAAUACAUGAUCAAUAAAAAUAACCAGAUCAUCCACUUAAGCUAAUUUAAAAAGACACUGAACAGAGCACAGAAUCAAUAUAUUAAAUACCAGUGUGAUGCAUAAAGUAUGCUUUUAACAAAGUUAAACAUGAAAUGCUUUAAAUGGAGAUCAUCAGCACAAAGUGACUAUAAUUUCCCCAUCAAGACUACUACUUCUCCGAACCUCGAUCACACUCACAUACACACACAAAGCACAAAAUUACAAACGCCAUAUACAAGAAGAAUAUUAAGAAAAGAGGAUGAAGAGCUGUCAUUCUCACUCUACACUCCCAAUAAAUAUAAGCUCAAAAAACACUGAGGGGAAUAAUCAAAUUGGGACAAAACAAAACCCUAAAACAAACAA